GGGGAAAGAUUUAUCGGAGAAGGAUCGGCCCGCGUUAGAUUAGGUAGUUGGUGGGGUAAUGGCCUACCAAGCCUACGAUCUAUAGCUGGUUUGAGAGGAUGAUCAGCAACACUGGGACUGAGACACGGCCCAGACUCCUACGGGAGGCAGCAGUGGGGAAUCUUAGACAAUGGGGGCAACCCUGAUCUAGCCAUGCCGCGUGAGUGAAGAAGGCCUUAGGGUCGUAAAGCUCUUUCGCCUGUGAAGAUAAUGACUGUAGCAGGUAAAGAAGCCCCGGCUAACUCCGUGCCAGCAGCCGCGGUAAUACGGAGGGGGCUAGCGUUGUUCGGAAUUACUGGGCGUAAAGCGCGCGUAGGCGGAUUGGAAAGUUGGGGGUGAAAUCNNGGGGCUCAACCCCGGAACUGCCUCCAAAACUAUCAGUCUGGAGUUCGAGAGAGGUGAGUGGAAUUGCGAGUGUAGAGGUGAAAUUCGUAGAUAUUCGCAGGAACACCAGUGGCGAAGGCGGCUCACUGGCUCGAUACUGACGCUGAGGUGCGAAAGUGUGGGGAGCAAACA
RNAcentral lists this ribosomal RNA (555 nucleotides) under uncultured bacterium. Its description in RNAcentral is "bacterial SSU rRNA". It matches the Rfam family "Bacterial small subunit ribosomal RNA", at positions 199 to 774 of the family's 1533-position model. The record is from RNAcentral.